Molecule: small nuclear RNA, 107 nt
Filed under: Carlito syrichta (Philippine tarsier)
Lineage: Eukaryota; Metazoa; Chordata; Mammalia; Primates; Tarsiidae
Source: RNAcentral
AUGCUUGCUUCAGUAGCACAUACACUAAAAUUGGAAUGAUACAGAGAAAAUUAGCAUGGCCCCUGUGCAAGGAUGACAUGCAAAUUCAUGAAGCGUUCCAUAUUUUC